GGGGGUGUUCCGGAUUCGACCCUUGGUUGGAGCGCGCCGUUGCCUGUCGAGAGUGAAGGUCUCUCGUUAAUCCCUCUUCAAAACAAACAAACGGCACAUUCGAAGAAAUGCCCCUGGCUGCUUAACGUAGCCACGUUCCUACCAUGACACCUGCUAGUGGCUAGGAGCGUCGACAGCAGGAAUAGCGGUGACGGCCGUCGUGACGUCACCGUGGUAUCUUCAACCACGGCUGGCUGAGGGAGGAGCGUGCGUCAUCGCGCCCCCGAGGUGAGAUCCAAUCAGACGCUACACAGGUAGAUGCGGCGCGUGAAGGCCAGGGACACAGGGGUUCAACUCCCCUCACCUCCACCA
This 351-nucleotide transfer-messenger RNA is filed under the name Lacunisphaera sp. It matches the Rfam family "transfer-messenger RNA". From Rfam's summary of the family: Bacterial tmRNA, also known as 10Sa RNA or SsrA, is named for its dual tRNA and mRNA-like properties. Its role is to liberate the mRNA from a stalled ribosome. To accomplish this part of the tmRNA is used as a reading frame that ends in a translation stop signal. The record is from RNAcentral. Lineage: Bacteria; Pseudomonadati; Verrucomicrobiota; Opitutia; Opitutales; Opitutaceae.